Molecule: non-coding RNA, 77 nt
Organism: Drosophila mojavensis
Lineage: Eukaryota; Metazoa; Arthropoda; Insecta; Diptera; Drosophilidae
Source: Rfam
CGUAACUUUCAAUUCCGUAGUGCAUUGCAGUUGAUUUAAGGAAUUACUGCAAGCGCUGCAGAAUUGGCAGCUCCGUU